GCUCAGUAUAAUAUUGGGCGGAUUGUUGUGGCGUGUGUUGGGCAGCCGAACCGGUGUCAGUGGAUCACGGGGACGGUGUGGACAAGGUAGUACGUGAUGAUGGCGGGAUUAGGACUGUGUGGCUUCGAGCCGCAUUCAAUUCGUCAUUAGAGCGACAAAAGACGUGGUUCCGACUCCCCCGAACGUCCGACAGCGGGUGAGUGGCGACGGCUGCUGUUAUUAAUUCUUUGACGCUGAAGACACAUUUAUUUCUCGUCAGGUUGUAGCCAGGGUGAGUUGGGCGCGCGACACUCAGCCUGGCGCCAUAAUGAAACGCGCGCAUUUUCGAGCGGCGCGCUCGAGAACGGCCGCGUGGAGGCGAGUUGCGCGGCUGGCCCGAUGGUGUUCAGAUGUUAUAGCGUAAAAGCGCGAGGAGGAGCGCGACGCCGCUGUCCUGACCUCAUGAAAAGUGUCUCACUCACUGCUUUAGCGCACAUUUACUAAAUGAUUUAUUUAGCAGCUCGGUUUGAACCGUAAUACACUAGGGCAGUCGCGGUAACUGGACCUACGCUUACACGACGAAAUUUCGGAAUGGACCGGGCGGUGGUGGUGCCGCUUGGCUUUGCGAGCUGAUCUUCAUCUUGCCUGAUAAGAAUGACUGCCAAAACAACAACACAACAACAACAAUAAAAACCAAGAGCAUUCGCGGAAUCUGCAUGUGUUGAUGAUGAUGUGUGUCGAAUUAUUUGAAUUUCUCAGAAAAAGCUUUUUUGUGUACGUUGGAGACGCACCCAGUUCUCAAUCCCACGAAAGAGUUGCGUGUUGGAAAAAGAUCUGCAAAAUGCAUACAGCACAAAUGUCUUAUGUGCUCCCGUUGCCCCCGAGAAUUUCCUGCAAAUGGGCUGAAAAAAAACUGACUGGACGAGUUGGGCUGAAGUGGGGAUUUUUUCUGCUCAUGGGACUCCUCUCAGGUGAUGAAGACAAGGAAGGAGCGUGCCAGAAAAACAGAGCUCGCUCACCUUAAAGACCGAGAUUCAGAAAAAGGAAAGGUGUCGGUGACAACAAAUAGCCGAAAUCGCUUGGUGUCACUUUUAUUUUGUCUGCCUUCGUGCUCCAGCUGAACUUGUCUGAUGAGUAUAGAUGGAGGGCCCUAUAUUGCAUGGGUGGAGGAACGUAAAAUGUAGUCCACAGUGCAGUGCUCUGGUUAAGGACACUUGUUUGUAUCCCACAGGUUCUCCAGAUAAAAAAAAAAAAAGAAAACAGUAGAAUUGAGUAUAAUUUAAGUUCUCUGGAGGGGAAAGCUAUCCAAACAAUAAUAAUUGUAUGUUUUUUAAUGAAAUGUGUAACUAUAGCACAUAGCGUGUGUGUGUGAUUGCAGGGCGAUGUAGUGGCGUCCUGUCCAGGGUGUACCCUACCUCGCUCCCUACGUUUCCGG
Molecule: long non-coding RNA, 1414 nt
Filed under: Scleropages formosus (Asian bonytongue)
Lineage: Eukaryota; Metazoa; Chordata; Actinopteri; Osteoglossiformes; Osteoglossidae
Description: lncRNA (ENSSFOG00015026274.1)
Source: RNAcentral